GCCGAGGUGGCGGAAUUGGUAUACGCGUACGCCUUAAGAGCGUAUGAGAUUAUAUCUUGUGCGGGUUCGAGCCCCGCCCUCGGCA
This 85-nucleotide transfer RNA is filed under the name Candidatus Woesebacteria bacterium RIFCSPHIGHO2_01_FULL_44_21. RNAcentral describes it as "tRNA-Leu". It matches the Rfam family "tRNA". From Rfam's summary of the family: Transfer RNA (tRNA) molecules are approximately 80 nucleotides in length. Their secondary structure includes four short double-helical elements and three loops (D, anti-codon, and T loops). Further hydrogen bonds mediate the characteristic L-shaped molecular structure. tRNAs have two regions of fundamental functional importance: the anti-codon, which is responsible for specific mRNA codon recognition, and the 3' end, to which the tRNAs corresponding amino acid is attached (by aminoacyl-tRNA synthetases). tRNAs cope with the degeneracy of the genetic code in two manners: having more than one tRNA (with a specific anti-codon) for a particular amino acid; and 'wobble' base-pairing, i.e. permitting non-standard base-pairing at the 3rd anti-codon position. Lineage: Bacteria; Candidatus Woeseibacteriota. RNAcentral also lists the same sequence under 1 other name. The record is from RNAcentral.